This is a transfer RNA of Colletotrichum fioriniae PJ7, 93 nucleotides long. It matches the Rfam family "tRNA". From Rfam's summary of the family: Transfer RNA (tRNA) molecules are approximately 80 nucleotides in length. NCBI's taxonomy places the organism in Eukaryota, Fungi, Ascomycota, Sordariomycetes, Glomerellales, Glomerellaceae. The record is from Rfam.
UCCCAUAUAGUCCAGUGGUUAGGAUACUCCGCUUUCAGUCUUUCAUUCUGAGAAUUCACCGGAGAGACCCGAGUUCGAACCUCGGUGUGGGAA